Molecule: long non-coding RNA, 341 nt
Organism: Daucus carota subsp. sativus
Lineage: Eukaryota; Viridiplantae; Streptophyta; Magnoliopsida; Apiales; Apiaceae
Exons: 3
Source: RefSeq, a predicted model, not a curated record
CACUAUAGAGGUUAUAAUCAGGGCAUUGUUCAGAGUAUUUCAAGCAAAAGGCAAAGCAAGAGUCGACGGUGGCGGAAUUGGAGGGGUUAGAAGGUGUUUGAGAUCCUUCCGACCUCCGAAAAACAGCAAUUAUCGAAUGGGCAAAGUCGGAACUCGGAUGGUAAUGUUCUUUUCAACAGCACCUGUAAACAGACCCUUGGACGGAUAAGACGUGCGUCGACAUAAAUGCAAUUACCGAAUGGGCAAAGUCGGAUGGUAAAGUUCUUUUCAACGGCAGCCCUAAACAGACCCUUGGACGGAUAAGACUUGCGUCGACAUAAGUGUAUUGUUUCUCGAUGAAU